CUUUCUUUGCUGGCGACCGGCGCACGGGUGAGUAACACGUAUCCAACCUGCCCUUUACUCGGGGACAGCCUUUCGAAAGAAAGAUUAAUACCCGAUAGUAUAAUGAUUCCGCAUGGUUUCAUUAUUAAAGGAUUCCGGUAAAGGAUGGGGAUGCGUUCCAUUAGGUUGUUGGUGAGGUAACGGCUCACCAAGCCUUCGAUGGAUAGGGGUUCUGAGAGGAAGGUCCCCCACAUUGGAACUGAGACACGGUCCAA
RNAcentral lists this ribosomal RNA (254 nucleotides) under uncultured bacterium. RNAcentral's name for it is "partial 16S ribosomal RNA". It matches the Rfam family "Bacterial small subunit ribosomal RNA", at positions 79 to 334 of the family's 1533-position model. The record is from RNAcentral.